RNAcentral lists this ribosomal RNA (252 nucleotides) under uncultured Bacteroidales bacterium. RNAcentral's name for it is "partial 16S ribosomal RNA". It matches the Rfam family "Bacterial small subunit ribosomal RNA", at positions 524 to 776 of the family's 1533-position model. Lineage: Bacteria; Pseudomonadati; Bacteroidota; Bacteroidia; Bacteroidales. The record is from RNAcentral.
UACGGAGGAUGCGAGCGUUAUCCGGAUUUAUUGGGUUUAAAGGGUGCGCAGGCGGGCUGUUAAGCCGGCGGUAAAAAUUCAGGGCUCAACCCUGUCGAGCCGUCGGAACUGGGGGCCUUGAGUGCGGCGGAGGCAUGCGGAAUGCGCGGUGUAGCGGUGAAAUGCAUAGAUAUCGCGCAGAACCCCGAUUGCGAAGGCAGCGUGCCGUGCCGCCACUGACGCUGAGGCACGAAAGCGCGGGGAUCGAACAGG